Molecule: long non-coding RNA, 588 nt
Organism: Bos indicus x Bos taurus (hybrid cattle)
Lineage: Eukaryota; Metazoa; Chordata; Mammalia; Artiodactyla; Bovidae
Source: Ensembl
CUUUACCACCAGACCAUGAGGAAAGUCCUAAAUAUAUUCAUGUAUACAAAAUCUCAUGAUUUAACAGAAGGAUUGGGUCCAAUAUCUGAAGCGUUCUGCUUUAGAGUUUUCUAAAUUUUAGUUAUCCUUCAGAUUUUAACUACAGUCAUGAGCCACCUAUACUAUGACUUAUAUAAUGAUAUUUUCUUUAAGUCGAGUAACGCAUUUAUAUGUUGCUAUUGCUCCUCACAACCUCAGGUAUUUAUUCAUUGUGGAAGCUCAGAUGAUGGACCCAGAUGUAACCUCAGGAUCCUCUUUAUUACAGCGUCUCAAGGACCCCUCUUUCCAAGUUCCCUUCUCAAUACAGCCAAGAGGCUAGAUCUCAUCAAUAAAAUAGUUGUUAUAAAAAGGGCAGAAGACUUGAAGGCAAAAUACGCCACCAACACAAGAAGGUUCAUGUUUGUAUUUAAAUGUUCGUCACCUGCUGUUGAGACAUCGCUGACCUUGAAAUGCUACCAAAUCAUGUCAGCGUUCCGUCUGAUUCUCGGGAGGACAGCAGUCAAAGCAUGAACACUCUAUUAUUAAUAAAAGGGAGAGACUGACAGGUCA